This 451-nucleotide ribosomal RNA is filed under the name uncultured bacterium. RNAcentral describes it as "bacterial SSU rRNA". It matches the Rfam family "Bacterial small subunit ribosomal RNA", at positions 354 to 796 of the family's 1533-position model. The record is from RNAcentral.
GUGGGGAAUUUUUGUCAAUGGGGGAAACCCUGAACAAGCAACGCCGCGUGAAGGACGAAGACCUUCGGGUUGUAAACUUCUGUCGGAGGGGACGAAAGCGGUCGAGGCUAAUAUCCUCGGCCGUCGACGGUACCCUACGAGGAAGCCCCGGCUAACUCCGUGCCAGCAGCCGCGGUAAUACGGGGGGGGCAAGCGUUGUUCGGAAUUACUGGGCGUAAAGGGCGCGUAGGCGGGUGUGCAAGUCUCUCGUGAAAGCCCACGGCUCAACCGUGGAAUUGCGGGAGAUACUGCACGUCUUGAGUCCGGGAGAGGAGGGUGGAAUUCCCAGUGUAGCGGUGAAAUGCGUAGAUAUUGGGAGGAACACCGGUGGCGAAGGCGGCUCUCUGGACCGGUACUGACGCUGAGGCGCGAAAGCUAGGGGAGCAAACGGGAUUAGAAACCCUAGUAGUCC